Molecule: unclassified non-coding RNA, 153 nt
Filed under: soil metagenome
Description: partial internal transcribed spacer 1
Source: RNAcentral
GUGAUUAAAUCGAGCGUGUCCUCAUUGACCGCUCACCCUUCUCACCACCCACAUACACCUGUGCACUGUUUAGCCUGAGCCGGUUUUCCGGUCCAGGUUAUCAUUUCAUACAAACUCUAGUCUUAUGAAUGUAAACGUUUUAAUAACAUAAUA